RNAcentral lists this non-coding RNA (216 nucleotides) under Candidatus Zhuqueibacterota. Lineage: Bacteria; Pseudomonadati. The record is from RNAcentral.
AGUAAAGUAGAGGGUGCAGGUGCCGCCCCAGCGGAGAAUAGGGAAAACGGUUGAAAACCGUGCGGCCCCGCCACUGUGAUCGGCAGAAUUCUCGGACUUUGCUCAGCCCGAGAAUUAAGAAACGAGCCCAUGUUGGCCACUGGGGAGAAAAUUCCGGGAAGGCCGGCUCGUUUCAUCGCUGAGAGCCAGGAGACCUGCCUGUACCCUGCGAAACAU